This 342-nucleotide unclassified non-coding RNA is filed under the name Hevea brasiliensis (rubber tree). The record is from RNAcentral. Lineage: Eukaryota; Viridiplantae; Streptophyta; Magnoliopsida; Malpighiales; Euphorbiaceae.
GGAAGCAGUUUCUGUUUGACUGCUUUUAUUUCAUCCAUUGUAUGUGAUAAGAUCAACUUCUGCAGCAAGAAGGAUGCAAGUGAAAUUUACUGAGUUUAUGCCUGAAGAUUAUCCCUCUUUAGCAAAGUUGUUUGCUUAUAUUGUUUGCCCUGUGUUAAAAAUUGUUCUAAAAGUUAGUGAUAAGUAAAAAUAUGGUAAGUACACAAGUGGUAUACAUAUUGCAAGGAAAAAUUGUUGUAAGCCUGACUUAAAUUUACACUCUACUGCUUUUGUCAUUGCAUUAUGCAACCUGCUAGAUUGUCAUUCCAUUAAUACAUUGGAAUGUGGUCAGAUCAAAGUUUG